AAGUUCUUGGUUAAAGGAGCUAAAAGAAGUUUCUUUAAGUUCUGAUGCAUUUUUCCCAUUUCGCGACAACAUUGAUCGCGCAGCCCAGAGUGGUGUGGAAUAUAUUGCGAGUCCUGCUGGAUCAGUUUCAGAUGAUGUAGUGAUUACAGCU
This is a long non-coding RNA of Xenia sp. Carnegie-2017, 151 nucleotides long. RefSeq lists it as uncharacterized. Lineage: Eukaryota; Metazoa; Cnidaria; Anthozoa; Malacalcyonacea; Xeniidae. The transcript has 2 exons. The record is from RefSeq and is a predicted model, not a curated record.